CGUGCAGUAGCCGAGUGGUAGGUGGUAGAUUUUGCGCUUGUUGGUCAUGGGUUCGAUCCCCGACGGUGCCC
Molecule: transfer RNA, 71 nt
Filed under: Hordeum vulgare
Lineage: Eukaryota; Viridiplantae; Streptophyta; Magnoliopsida; Poales; Poaceae
Description: tRNA-OTHER
Source: RNAcentral